Molecule: ribosomal RNA, 253 nt
Filed under: uncultured bacterium
Lineage: Bacteria
Description: partial 16S ribosomal RNA
Rfam family: Bacterial small subunit ribosomal RNA
Source: RNAcentral
UACGUAGGGGGCUAGCGUUGUCCGGAAUCAUUGGGCGUAAAGAGCGUGUAGGCGGCUCGGUAAGUCCGCUGUAAAAGUCAAAGGCUCAACCUUUGAAUGUCAGUGGAUACUGCCGGGCUAGAGUCCGGAAGAGGCGAGUGGAACUCCUGGUGUAGCGGUGGAAUGCGCAGAUAUCAGGAAGAACACCGGUGGCGAAGGCGCUCUGCUAGGCCGCAACUGACACUGAGGGACGAAAGCUAGGGGAGCGAAUGGG